Molecule: long non-coding RNA, 1045 nt
Filed under: Anser cygnoides (Swan goose)
Lineage: Eukaryota; Metazoa; Chordata; Aves; Anseriformes; Anatidae
Description: lncRNA (ENSACDG00005011872.1)
Source: RNAcentral
AUAAAUUGUUUGAGCCAACACUAUCCAAUGGACAGUAGAAGAAGGGCUUCACAAAAUAAAAUAAAAUGAAAUGCGUGUUAUCCCUAUGUUAUGCAGAUGUGUGUUGUAAAUUCACCAUAAAUUAAAAUUUUUUUUUGAGGAUAAUGUCAAAUUUUAGGUGACUGAUAUGAAGCAGAUGUCACAGAAGAUGUACAAUGAGAACAGCUAGGGUUCUUUCCUAAUUUACUUCAGAGGGCUUGGGGUGAAGUCUACAGUGGUAUAAUCACAAGCAGUAUUUUGACUGAGAUCCUAUUUUCAUACGAACUCUUUAAAGUCACAUGAUGUAUCAUAUAAAUUGGAGUUGGCAACUAAGUCUGCCACUUCGAUUAAAUAAUCAAAAUGUCAUUAUCUAAAAGUUGCAUUUUGUGGAAAAAGCAGAAUAUAGGAAAAAGAAUGGAAGAGAUAAAUCAAGUCUACUCUUUUUUUUUUUUUUUUUUUCCCAUUUAAUGGCUAGAACUAGUGUCCAACAACUGGCAGUCACUACUGGAGAAAGGAAGUAAAUCAAGGAAGAUGGUAGAAGUAACUACAUUUGCAGUUAUUUAUAACCUAAGAAAAUGGAAAACCCAAGAACUUGGCCAGAAGCUUUGAUGUAUAAGUCCUGCUGCAGAUAUUGUGAUACGUGUGUGCACAUACGUGUAUACAGGUGUGAAAAUAGCACUGAAGCACCCCAAUGGAAAAAACUUCAUUGAAUUCAAAUGUCUCAUUGGAAAUAGGAGCAACAAAGAAUUUCACAUAAAUGUUAACUACCGGAUCAGGGAAAACAUAUAUGUGAAAAAAUAGUUUGUUGGCUCUGUUCCUUGAAUCCCAUUUCUGCUUUCUGCUCUUCAUGGUGUUUUGGAUCUACAUUACGCCCAGCUGAGACUAUUAAGGUGAGUAAAAUGACUUCUAUAUCUCAGUAUAUAAGACCUAUUAUUGGAGAAAUUUAAAACCUUUCAAAAGCUUUGCAUAUAAAUCUGCACAAAAAAAAAAAAGUAAACACAAAUAAAUAGUGUCAUUAUGAAUUCCA